This 484-nucleotide ribosomal RNA is filed under the name uncultured bacterium. Its description in RNAcentral is "partial 16S ribosomal RNA". It matches the Rfam family "Bacterial small subunit ribosomal RNA", at positions 30 to 507 of the family's 1533-position model. The record is from RNAcentral.
AUUGAACGCUAGCGGGAUGCUUUACACAUGCAAGUCGAACGGCAGCGCGGACUUCGGUCUGGCGGCGAGUGGCGAACGGGUGAGUAAUGUAUCGGAACGUGCCCAGUAGCGGGGGAUAACUACGCGAAAGCGUAGCUAAUACCGCAUACGCCCUACGGUGGAAAGCAGGGGAUCGUAAGACCUUGAACUAUUGGAGCGGCCGAUAUCGGAUUAGCUAGUUGGUGAGGUAACGGCUCACCAAGGCGACGAUCCGUAGCUGGUUUGAGAGGACGACCAGCCACACUGGGACUGAGACACGGCCCAGACUCCUACGGGAGGCAGCAGUGGGGAAUUUUGGACAAUGGGGGCAACCCUGAUCCAGCCAUCCCGCGUGUGCGAUGAAGGCCUUCGGGUUGUAAAGCACUUUUGGCAGGAAAGAAACUUCGCGUGCUAAUACCCCGUGGAACUGACGGUACCUGCAGAAUAAGCACCGGCUAACUACGUG